Molecule: long non-coding RNA, 558 nt
Filed under: Coccomyxa subellipsoidea
Lineage: Eukaryota; Viridiplantae; Chlorophyta; Trebouxiophyceae; Coccomyxaceae
Description: long non-coding RNA (CSUB_LNC000212)
Source: RNAcentral
AACUUGGUCAAACAAACUGGGCACCCAAGGCCCCACUACAUCAGCAGGCAUGCAAAUCAUUGUCAUUGUCAGAGACUCAAAGCUGGCACUGCAGGUCGUCAACAAUCCGUCACCAACUCGUCCCUAGUAAAACGUUUCCUUUCGUCUCAUGACCUGUAAGGAUGCCUGUACAUAGGUUGGGGUUCUAAGUUCUUCGGUCUGGUCGUCUCCAAUUGAAGUUCCUGAGCAUCUCCUCCCGAAUUCUGACGGGCUGCCGCAUGGCAACGGGGCAUCGAGUUCGGGAGAGAGGCUACGCACUUCCUGGCAUUGAUGUAGAGUCUCAGUGGCCCGCCACAAGCCGAUCCUGGAACAUCGUCGGCGCUCAUGAGCACGAUGCUGACAAUGGCUCGGUGGAGGCGAGUCAUGGUUGGCUUGCAGGUCAGCUUCAGCCUUUGUGCAGGUUCCUGCCUCUGGCAAACACUACAAUCGCCAGUUUCAACAUUGCUUCCAAGAAUCUCUGAGUUGCUUCUUGCUGUCUUGAGUGUCCUGGAUUGUUUUGUGCAGGCGUCAUCCUUUUCU